RNAcentral lists this ribosomal RNA (787 nucleotides) under Triticum aestivum (bread wheat). RNAcentral describes it as "partial small subunit ribosomal RNA". The record is from RNAcentral. Lineage: Eukaryota; Viridiplantae; Streptophyta; Magnoliopsida; Poales; Poaceae.
UACGUCCUCGUCCCACAGCAAGGGGAAAGAGGAAAGCUAUUCCGUCUCCCUCUCUCGAGGUUGCCGCCUCCUCCGCCUCCGCUAACGAAGACAAGUACCGCUAAGGCUCGAGUAGGUAGCGUCCUAAAACUAAAGAAGAGGAACAAAAGAAGCAGGCGGCCGACGGGACCAUCAUAGAGUUACUCAUGUGACGUAUUUCAGACAGCGUUCCUACAAGGGGAUGAAAGAAGUGAGCUCUCGCGACUAAGAAACUUGCUAGGAAUACACGGAUUACUAAAACGACUACUACCAAGAUCACGAUACAGAAACCAACAGGACCACUACUACUUCUCAAACUAUUUCGUGAAAUGUUAAAGAUACACUUAUUAUUUCAGUUCAUGGACUUCUCUUUUAAUAGUAGACGACCGUCUUCCUUACAAACAUUAGGACAGUCCACGAAAACUGCCCAGUUACUUCCUGUCAUCCCCGCUGACCAAGUUGGUAAGACAGUUACAAUCAGCGAACUGCCCAGUGUUGAUGUCGGGCUGGGCAAAAGAAGUCCUUUUUGUCUGUAUGUUGACAGUUGUCUAGUAACCAACCUUUUAAAUUUACUAUUGGUUAAUGUUUAGUCAGCUAACAACUUAUCUGUCAGGGGUAACGUUUUCAUGAAACAAAAGGAAGGACUGGACUCUGGUACCGGAAAAACCCACGAUAGGAAAAAAUAACACUGUAGUAGUUCAUGAUAUAGACGAUGGAGAGUAUUCGAGCACGAUGAAGUCUAAAAAAAAACCUCUUCCAUAUCAGUUCG